Molecule: long non-coding RNA, 260 nt
Filed under: Helianthus annuus (common sunflower)
Lineage: Eukaryota; Viridiplantae; Streptophyta; Magnoliopsida; Asterales; Asteraceae
Description: hypothetical non coding rna
Source: RNAcentral
GGUUAUGAAGUUUUUCAUGGCACCGACACAUUAUUGAGCAGUAGCGCAUCAGAUUUAUUGAUGUCUAUGACCAGUGUAUAUCUCUACUUGAGGAAUUCUCCAAAGAUCCAGAGCCGAUUGUUUCAUAGAGCUGUGAAGUUGCUCUAAACAUACUGGAUUUUGAACGAUCCGGCAAACCAUUCGAGUACAUCUUUAUGUAGGCACCUCAAUUGCAGGAGGCAGCAUGAUGGUUUCACUUUGUUGUGUGUUUUGUUACCAUU